GCAUACAAAACGUUACCUUUUCUUUAGCCAUUAAUUCAGCAUACUGUAAUUGAAAACAAUGAAACGACUUUCUCCAUUGAUUUUGGUUACACUCACUUCUCUACUCCUCCAGAGCCACUUUCCCUGUUCUUCGUUUCUGUGACCCCCUAUACGCUAGAGAUGAGAUUCCGACGCAGAAGAUGAAUUAACUUCUGCAAUUCAAACCUCUUUUGGCUUUGAUUCACUUCUCUCACAAAGACGCUUCCUUUUUUUUCGUUUCAAUUUCGCAGGUCUGAUCAAGUUUUCUUAUUUCAAUUUCGUAGACAUAGUUAGGGACUUUUUUUUUUUUACCUUCAUGGGGUGUUUGAUAAAAUUCCUGAAUGAGAAGUAGUACUGACAUUAAAUCCUUCCUGAAUGUGUAGCAAUUACAAGGUAUAAUCUUGGUUUCUGUCAUUGUCAUUUUCUGCCCAUAUUUUUUGUAUUGGUUUUCAAUACAUGGAGAAUGUCUACUAUGAUUUUGCAGCAAUUUUCUUGCUUAACAGUUGAUUUAUUUUAGUUAGUGUACUGAGAUAGAAGUUUAUAGACACCAAUUGAACAAUUACUUAAUAGAUUGAAAAGUGUGGCAUGGUUAAUAAAGUAAAUUUGAGUUUGUUCUUUCUUAUCUUUUGACGAGCAAAGUUGUUUUGGUUUUAGAUUUCACUAACUAAAACUAUCUCCAAUGAAAGUCGAACGAGGGUUGCAAAGAAAUUAUGUUCUAAUCUUGAGUUGAUUGUGUGUUCAGUCCAAAUGUGCCUAGCUUUCUUAGUAUCGUGUUCUCAUAAUGAGACAACUUUAGUUUAUUCAUAACAAAGGAUAUUGUAAUUACCUUGAUGACAAGUGAUAUGUGAGAUAAUUUAUGAUUAUUUUAUGAGAAAAUAAAUAUACCUUUUUAUAUAGGAUUUCCAUGGUUUCUUUUGCAGAUUUCUUACAAUAUGCCAUACAUUUGUGAAGGUUAUAUGCUAAGUUUCCCACAGGUUCAUAGUCCCAUUUUCAUUUUGUUGAUCAAAAAAAAAAACAUGGAAGGUACAUGUAUAUUAUGGAUUUCUGAAACUUUUCUCAUAUAUGCAAAACAGUUCGUUUUGGCUUCUCUGGCACUUUGCUCAUACAUGCAAAACAGUUCAAUUGUCGACUAUUAAUCCACUCUACUAAUUUAUAUAUAAAUUACAACCGGAGUCUAAACCCCAAGAGAGUUUUGAACUGAAGAGCCUAUUUUCCACAUCUGAAAGCAUGUUUAGGAUUUAAACAUCUAAACUUAAUGUUGAUUCAAUAAUGGCAAAACUUUAUAAACUCAUGGUUAAAAUAUUCUUCCGGAAAGUUUAAGGUUAUGUUGCAUUACUGCCACAAAUUAAAAGUAGGCCUGGUAGACUUAUUUAUUAGCCUAGGUUAUUCUCAGUUAAUUUCAAUAAUGAUAUUUGAGGUGAUUAAUUCGUAUAGAGAAGAUAACCCUUACACGGACAAACAUGCAAUAAUGUUCCAUUUGCUUGGGGAUGCAGUCCACGUCAUUGUUCCGAGUACAUAGCCACAUGUAACAUGAGGUGGGAUAGCUAAUGGCAUUUAUGGCCCAAAACAGCAAAUUUUCAUUCUUUAAAGUGGUGGAAGUAGUUGUUAGGGCAACUUCUCUGUUGAUCAUCAUUGAUCUUCUAGCGAAAUUACUAUCAGAUGGAGUGGAUAUUUCUGCAAAUAAGGAAGAAGCCAGAGAUGGAUCUGAGGACAAAUUGACAACAUAUAAGAAUUUUCUUUUCAAUAAUACUCUAAAAUGGAUGCCUCGAAGAGGGGAAGACAGAAACUUGACUAAUGGGAAGUUAGGUCUUGCUAAGGGUGCAAGAAAUCAAAAUUAGCUGGGUCUGCAACUGUAUACCCAUGUUUUCAAGUGGCUCCGUCCCUAAUGUUUAAUGCAAAUUAAGGGUCGGGAACAUACACGGUCAAACCUCAACUUCACCAACCUUCAUGACACAACUUUAAGAAUCAGCAGUGACGCUUCAAGGGAAACAAGGGCCUAAGUAUCACUCUUUCGAAGAAAAGCGAUCAUGUUAUAGGGGAACAUACAAUGAGUUAAUAAGGUCAUAUUAAGCAGUAACAGCAGCCCAAAACCCAUGCCGUUACCGCACGGUUCAUAUCCUAGUCUAGAUUAUAACAAAUUUGUUUAUUAAUUUCCCAUUGUGCUAUUAGUCAUAUAUAUAUAUAUAAAUAGUAAAUUUGUUAAUAACUAAAUAUGUCAAUGAAAAUUUAUGGUAGUUGUGCUGGUGGUGAUGUUAGUGGGUAGUAGAGGAGGCGCUAACGUUACUUA
Molecule: long non-coding RNA, 2305 nt
Organism: Papaver somniferum (opium poppy)
Lineage: Eukaryota; Viridiplantae; Streptophyta; Magnoliopsida; Ranunculales; Papaveraceae
Exons: 6
Source: RefSeq, a predicted model, not a curated record